This 21-nucleotide non-coding RNA is filed under the name Caenorhabditis elegans. Lineage: Eukaryota; Metazoa; Nematoda; Chromadorea; Rhabditida; Rhabditidae. The record is from RNAcentral.
UGUGCAGUUUUUCGAAACUUA